This 200-nucleotide unclassified non-coding RNA is filed under the name fungal sp. Its description in RNAcentral is "partial internal transcribed spacer 2". Lineage: Eukaryota; Fungi. The record is from RNAcentral.
UUAAGUUCAGCGGGUAUCCCUACCUGAUCCGAGGUCAACCAUAAAAGUAGAUUUAACAAAAAAUCCGGUCAAGACCGAGCCCGGAGGACCAUCGUGGAUGCGUGCUGAAAUGAAGCUCGCUGCAUCCAGGGUCCAGCCGACUCUGCCAUUAUCUUUCGGACCCACCGACGGUUAAAGAUCGGUGCGAGGUCCAACAAACA